UUGAAGUUGAUUCGGGUUGUCGCUGGCUCUCAGGAGCAUGUGCACGCUCGUUCAUAUUCAUAUUCUCUUGUGCACCUUUAGCUAGACUAUUGAAUACCUCUCGGGUGAAAAUCUCGGAUGGAGUGAUGCAUUUCGGUGCUUCUCUUACAUUUUCAUAGUCUAUGCCUUCAUAUACUCUUUUGUAUGUUUUAGAAUGUUCUUUUUGUGGGUUCUUGUGACCUAUAAAAUGUCAGUA
This 235-nucleotide unclassified non-coding RNA is filed under the name uncultured Mycenella. Its description in RNAcentral is "sequence contains ITS1". Lineage: Eukaryota; Fungi; Basidiomycota; Agaricomycetes; Agaricales; Tricholomataceae. The record is from RNAcentral.